Molecule: transfer RNA, 73 nt
Filed under: Necator americanus (New World hookworm)
Lineage: Eukaryota; Metazoa; Nematoda; Chromadorea; Rhabditida; Ancylostomatidae
Rfam family: tRNA
About the family: Transfer RNA (tRNA) molecules are approximately 80 nucleotides in length. Their secondary structure includes four short double-helical elements and three loops (D, anti-codon, and T loops). Further hydrogen bonds mediate the characteristic L-shaped molecular structure. tRNAs have two regions of fundamental functional importance: the anti-codon, which is responsible for specific mRNA codon recognition, and the 3' end, to which the tRNAs corresponding amino acid is attached (by aminoacyl-tRNA synthetases). tRNAs cope with the degeneracy of the genetic code in two manners: having more than one tRNA (with a specific anti-codon) for a particular amino acid; and 'wobble' base-pairing, i.e. permitting non-standard base-pairing at the 3rd anti-codon position.
Source: Rfam by way of RNAcentral
GGCAUUGUGGCUUAAUGGAUAGGGCGUCGGACUACGGAUCUGAAGAUUGCAGGUUCGAGUCCUGCCAGGGUCG